RNA transcript from Mercenaria mercenaria, 836 nucleotides. RefSeq lists it as uncharacterized. The record is from RefSeq and is a predicted model, not a curated record. The transcript is spliced from 6 exons. Lineage: Eukaryota; Metazoa; Mollusca; Bivalvia; Venerida; Veneridae.
UAAUUGACUUUGUCCGUAAUAGGUAAAGAAAGAAAAAAAAUGUUGAUGUCUUGGUCUAGUUUAAAUUUAUUAACUCGCUGAAAUAAAUUAAAGAAAUGUUCGACAGAGCCUCACAUUUUAUCACUUUGUUAAACUUGUUAAAUGAAUGCAAUAUGAAGAGUCGCUCAUGUAAUAUCCACUAUUAAUUCAAUGGUCGGAUGUUUUUGUGUUUUCUAUACAGGAAGAAAAGCCGCAAAGGAGAAAAAAAUUGAAAGUUAUCAAGAGCUGGAUGUCAAAGCCCUCUGUAGUGGCGACUCUUAUGACGUCAUAACAGAUCAGCCUUCAGAGGAUCGCAGAACACAAACCCUAAGGAGUACACAGGAGGAUAAGUCCCGAGGAAAAAGCAACGUUUAUGAGGACAUUACCCCAGCAGUUGCCUUGGUAAAUACUGCUGAUACGAAGUCUCCUCCUGUUCUACCAAAGCGUAUGAAAGUGAAGCCAAACGUACAAGAAAUCCCGGCUGAAAUGCACAUUUACGAGAAUACAAUGCUGACGCCUAUUCCCAGAUCAUAAUAUCUAGAGCUCACGACAUUACAAAUACAUUCUUUGUUGAAGAAUCAUGUGUGUGCAUUUGUAUUAUAGGAGAUGUGUUGUGGAAACUACCCCAGUAAAUCUGCAGAACAUGAUUAAAACUGUUCAGUUUGAAUAUGGUUUAAGAUCUAAAAAGAAAUCAUCUCUUCUGUCAGUGCCCAGAACAAGAACUUGUUUAGCAGAUAGAUCAUUUGCGGUGAAAGGACAAAAAUGGUGGAAUGAGCUACCUGACAAACUUAGACAAAUUAAAGAGGAAGAUGAAUUAA